This 495-nucleotide ribosomal RNA is filed under the name uncultured bacterium. RNAcentral describes it as "partial 16S ribosomal RNA". It matches the Rfam family "Bacterial small subunit ribosomal RNA", at positions 28 to 507 of the family's 1533-position model. The record is from RNAcentral.
GACGAACGCUGGCGGCGUGCCUAAUACAUGCAAGUCGAACGCUGAAGGAGGAGCUUGCUCUUCUGGAGGAGUUGCGAACGGGUGAGGAACGCGUAGGUAACCUGCCUGGUAGCGGGGGAUAACUAUUGGAAACGAUAGCUAAUACCGCAUAAGAGUAGAUGUUGCAUGACAUUUGCGUAAAAUUCGCAAUUGCAUCACUACCAGAUGGACCUGCGUUGUAUUAGGUAGGUGGUGGGGUAACGGCACACCAACGCGACGAUACAUAGCCGACCUGAGAGGGUGAUCCGCCCAACUGGGAACGGAACAAGGCCCAGGCUCCUACGGGAGGCAGCCGGAGGGGAACUUUGGCAAAUGACGGAAGUCUGAACGAGGAACGCCGGGGGAGUGAAGGAGGGUUUCGGAUCGUUAAGGUCUGUUGUAAGAGAAGAAAGAGUGUGAGAGUAGAAAGUUCACACUGUGACGGUAUCUUAACAGAAAGGGACGGCUAACUACGUG